This 468-nucleotide ribosomal RNA is filed under the name uncultured bacterium. Its description in RNAcentral is "partial 16S ribosomal RNA". It matches the Rfam family "Bacterial small subunit ribosomal RNA", at positions 28 to 507 of the family's 1533-position model. The record is from RNAcentral.
GACGAACGCUGGCGGCGUGCUUAACACAUGCAAGUCGAACGGAAAGGCCCUGCUUUUGUGGGGUGCUCGAGUGGCGAACGGGGGAGUAACACGUGAGGAACCUGCCCUUGACUUUGGGAUAACUUCAGGAAACUGGGGCGAAUACCGGAUAGGAGCUCCUGCUGCAUGGGGGGGGUUGGAAAGUUUCGGCGGUGGGGGCUGGACUCGAGGCUUAUCAGCUUGUUGGGGGGGUAGUGGCUUACGAAGGCUUUGAGGGGUAGCCGGCCUUGGAGGGUGACCGGCCACCUUGGGCCUGCGGUAGGGCCCAGACUCCUACGUGCGGCAGUGGUGGGGAAUAUUACACAACGGGCCGGCGUCUGUUGCGGCAGUGCCGCGUGCGGGAUGACGGCUUUCGAGUUGUGAACCGCUGUCGCAUGUGCCGAAGACUGCGUGACGGUAAUGGGUCAAGAAGCACCGGCUAACUACGUG